This 74-nucleotide transfer RNA is filed under the name Sus scrofa (pig). It matches the Rfam family "tRNA". From Rfam's summary of the family: Transfer RNA (tRNA) molecules are approximately 80 nucleotides in length. Their secondary structure includes four short double-helical elements and three loops (D, anti-codon, and T loops). The record is from Rfam by way of RNAcentral. Lineage: Eukaryota; Metazoa; Chordata; Mammalia; Artiodactyla; Suidae.
UCCCUGGUGGCUCAGCAGGUUAAGGAUGCCACAUUGUCAAUGCUGUAAUGCAGGUUCAAUUCCUGCCCCAGGAA